GAAAUCAGGAUGCAAGCUGCCGUUGUUCUUGUUUUACUAACUGUCGUAGCCACCCAGGCGCUUAUUGUCAGCCAAUGUCAUAAAGACUCUGAUUGUGAUACUGGGUGCUGUACGCGCCAUUUUUUUUCUGGAUUACCAAGUCUAUGUAGGCCUAAAAGUCAAUAUCUACAAGGAUGCUCAGCUAAAUACAUUACAGAAUGUGACUGUGCUGAAGGUUUGACUUGCAUUUUGGAAUCAGAGGUUACCAGUACUGUUAUAACAACCUUUUUUGGAGCUAGAAAAAUGGUCUGUGAAAAAAACACAGCGAUAGCGGCUUCAAAGGCAGCAGACCCUUCCGCUGCUUCUACA
Molecule: long non-coding RNA, 348 nt
Organism: Patella vulgata (common limpet)
Lineage: Eukaryota; Metazoa; Mollusca; Gastropoda; Patellidae
Exons: 3
Source: RefSeq, a predicted model, not a curated record